This 497-nucleotide ribosomal RNA is filed under the name uncultured bacterium. RNAcentral describes it as "partial 16S ribosomal RNA". It matches the Rfam family "Bacterial small subunit ribosomal RNA", at positions 28 to 507 of the family's 1533-position model. The record is from RNAcentral.
GACGAACGCUGGCGGCGUGCCUAAUACAUGCAAGUUGAGCGCUGAAGGUUGGUACUUGUACCAACUGGAUGAGCAGCGAACGGGUGAGUAACGCGUGGGGAAUCUGCCUUUGAGCGGGGGACAACAUUUGGAAACGAAUGCUAAUACCGCAUAAAAACUUUAAACACAAGUUUUAAGUUUGAAAGAUGCAAUUGCAUCACUCAAAGAUGAUCCCGCGUUGUAUUAGCUAGUUGGUGAGGUAAAGGCUCACCAAGGCGAUGAUACAUAGCCGACCUGAGAGGGUGAUCGGCCACACUGGGACUGAGACACGGCCCAAACUCCUACGGGAGGCAGCAGGAGGGAAUCUUCGGCAAUGGACGAAAGUCUGACCGAGCAACGCCGCGGGAGUGAAGAAGGUUUUCGGAUCGUAAAACUCUGUUGGUAGAGAAGAACGUUGGUGAGAGUGGAAAGCUCAUCAAGUGACGGUAACUACCCAGAAAGCGACGGCUAACUACGUG